This 777-nucleotide ribosomal RNA is filed under the name Triticum aestivum (bread wheat). Its description in RNAcentral is "partial small subunit ribosomal RNA". The record is from RNAcentral. Lineage: Eukaryota; Viridiplantae; Streptophyta; Magnoliopsida; Poales; Poaceae.
AUGGCCAAUCUUGACCUUGGUGCAACUGCUAUCAUGGGUCCAGCCUUCCAGAUUGAUGAGCCGCUCAAGGCGUGGGGCGUUCACCACGAAGAUUUCUUCGAAGAAGGACCCGAUGAUCUGCACGCACCGGAGGCUUUGGCUGACAAGGCGGAGCCGGAGCGUGAAAAAAUUACCUUCGACACUGAGCGUCUCCAGCACGGGGCUCCUGUCGAGGAUGAAGUCCAAAUCCCUGCUCUCCACAAGGAUGUUGCAGAGCCCGAGCUCACGGAGUUUGGGGAAAGAGGCGGAGCGCGGGAGGCCGGCCGUGUCCGGGAACUUCCAGGAGCCGAGGUGGAGCCGGGUGAGGGUGGCCAUGCCGAAGAAGGUGCAGGGGAGGAUGACGUCGAACGGACAGCAGCUGUUGAGGAUGACGAGUUCCAGUAUGCCCUUGGCGGCGAGAAGCUCGAUCCAGCGCGUGAGCAGGCCAUGGAACUCCUCCCUGCAGCUCUUGAUCAGGUGGACGCAGCGGAAGGGCCCCGGGUGCGCCUCGAGCACGCGGGACAGGGCGUAGGUGGCGGGGGCGAGGUCGGCGUCGACGAGGACGAGCGGGGCGGAGCGCCAGACCCCGGGCCAGCGGUGGGAGAGCGCGGCGGUGCGCGCGGCGUCCUUGACGGGCAGGAGGGAGACGAUGUGCCGGAGGAGCGCGUCUGGGAGGCGGCUGACGCGGUCGACGGCGUCGUGGGGCGGGGGGGCGGGGCGGGUGUGGUGGGUGCGGUGCGGUUCAGCAAGCGGCGGUAG